GACAGAGGGUGCGAACGUUGUUCGGAAUUACUGGGCGUAAAGCGUGUGUAGGCGGCCACGUAAGUCGGAUGUGAAAGCCCCAGGCUCAACCUGGGAAGUGCACUCGAUACUGCGUGGCUUGAGUAUCGGAGAGGUUGGUGGAAUUCUCGGUGUAGAGGUGAAAUUCGUAGAUAUCGAGAGGAACACCGGUGGCGAAGGCGGCCAACUGGACGAAUACUGACGCUGAGACACGAAAGCGUGGGGAGCAAACAGG
Molecule: ribosomal RNA, 253 nt
Filed under: uncultured bacterium
Lineage: Bacteria
Description: partial 16S ribosomal RNA
Rfam family: Bacterial small subunit ribosomal RNA
Source: RNAcentral